GUGAGGAAUUUUCCGCAAUGGGCGAAAGCCUGACGGAGCAAUGCCGCGUGAAGGAUGAAGGCCUAUGGGUUGUAAACUUCUUUUCUCAGAAAAGAAUUAUGACGGUAUCUGAGGAAUAAGCAUCGGCUAACUCUGUGCCAGCAGCCGCGGUAAGACAGAGGAUGCAAGCGUUAUCCGGAAUGAUUGGGCGUAAAGCGUCUGUAGGUUGUUUAAAAAGUAUUCUGUCAAAGAUUAGGGCUUAACCCUAGAUAGGCAGAAUAAACUUUUAAGCUAGAGUUUGGUAGAGGCAGAGGGAAUUCCCGGUGGAGCGGUGAAAUGCGUAGAUAUCGGGAGGAACACCAAAGGCGAAGGCACUCUGCUGGGCCAAUACUAACACUGAGAGACGAAAGCGAGGGGAGCAAAUGGGAUUAGAAACCCCAGAAGUCC
RNAcentral lists this ribosomal RNA (426 nucleotides) under uncultured bacterium. RNAcentral's name for it is "partial 16S ribosomal RNA". It matches the Rfam family "Bacterial small subunit ribosomal RNA", at positions 354 to 796 of the family's 1533-position model. The record is from RNAcentral.